UAUAUAUAUAUAUAUCUUCCCACCAUCUUCUCCAUUAAUUCCAAAUCUGAGAAGAGAAGCACAACGAAAAUAGUUCCAGCAAUUGCAAAUUAUCCUAUCCAAUUGAAGAUCGAAAGGGUAAAUUUGUGCACGUCGAUUGCUGUGAGAACGAAAAGUGAUUGAGGAGUUAAGCGUUUGAGAUAUGGUAGACAUCGAUGGGAAAUGACUGCAGUCACGAGUUUUACGAUGG
This is a long non-coding RNA of Salvia splendens (bonfire salvia), 229 nucleotides long. RefSeq lists it as uncharacterized. The transcript has 3 exons. NCBI's taxonomy places the organism in Eukaryota, Viridiplantae, Streptophyta, Magnoliopsida, Lamiales, Lamiaceae. The record is from RefSeq and is a predicted model, not a curated record.